GCCAAAACGCGGAAGCAACGUGGAUUUUACGUGCCUACGUUUAUGUCAAACACAUCGUGAUUGGCUCAUGAAGGAGCAGAUACGUGAAACACGCUGCACAUAGCCAUAUGGAGAAAGUAGGUGAGUGUUGAUCAUUUGUUUGGUACCUAUUCCCCCAAGAGGGGUGCCAGUGUCCUGAUGCUGACCAGUGCCACCGGUUCCGCCACUUGGUUCCUGCUGGAGCCUUAGCACCAACUGGAUGAGGGGACUCCUCUCUGUGUUGAAUUCCCGGCUGUCUAAGGCUUUGAAGUGGAGAGUGGUGUCAAACUACAAGACCGCCAGCAUGUAAACAAGGCCUUGUUUGUCCUUGUUUGGCUACUCACCACUCUUCUAAUUCCUGAAGAGGCUGAAGCAUGCUGGCCUUGACACCUCAGUCCUUGCUUCCAUUAACAGCUGUGUUAUGGUCUACUGCAACGGGUGGAUAAGGAGGGCAAAUGACAGGCAGUGUGCUGUGAGGACUGCUGCCCUGAUUCAUACGGAAGAACCAAGCCCGCAAGAUGGUGUUAUCAAGCACACAGAAGGGGGGAAUAUAGCUUAUUGUACCUUAAAUGACAAGUGCUCAUCACAAGCAUUCCAAAAAUAUAUGAUUUAGGCUACUUAAUGUGAUCUGUCUUCGAGUUACACCCUAAAAACUACCAACACUGUCAAAAGAGUCCGUCAAUGCAAACGGUCGUGUCCUCCUGGCAGAUGGUGUUAUCAAGCACACAGAAGGGUGGAAUAUAGUUUAUUGUACCUUAAAUGACAAGUACUCAUCACAAGCAUUCCAAAAAUAUAUGAUAUAGGCUACUUAAUGUGAUCUGUCUUCGAGUUACACCCUAUAAACUACCAACACUGUCAAAAGUGUCCGUCAAUGCAAACGGUGGCAUCCUCCUGGCAGAUGGUGUUAUCAAGCACACAGAAGGGUGGAAUAUAGUUUAUUGUACCUUAAAUGACAAGUACUCAUCACAAGCAUUCCAAAAAUGUAUGAUUUAGGCUACUUAAUGUGAUCUGUCUUCGAGUUACACCCUACAAACUACCAACACUGUCAAAAGUGUCAGUCAAUGCAAACGGUCGCGUCCUCCUGGCAGAUGGUGUUAUGAAGCACACAGAAGGGUGGAAUAUAGCUUAUUGUACCUUAAAUGACAAGCACUCAUCACAAGCAUUCCAAAAAUAUAUGAUUUAAAUUACUUAAUGUGAUCUGUCUUCGAGUUACACCCUAAAAACUACCAACACUGUCAAAAGUGUCCGUCAAUGCAAACGGUGGCAUCCUCCUGGCAGAUGGUGUUAUCAAGCACACAGAAGGGUGGAAUAUAGUUUAUUGUACCUUAAAUGACAAGUACUCAUCACAAGCAUUCCAAAAAUGUAUGAUUUAGGCUACUUAAUGUGAUCUGUCUUCGAGUUACACCCUACAAACUACCAACACUGUCAAAAGUGUCAGUCAAUGCAAACGGUCGCGUCCUCCUGGCAGAUGGUGUUAUGAAGCACACAGAAGGGUGGAAUAUAGCUUAUUGUACCUUAAAUGACAAGCACUCAU
Molecule: long non-coding RNA, 1552 nt
Organism: Sardina pilchardus (European sardine)
Lineage: Eukaryota; Metazoa; Chordata; Actinopteri; Clupeiformes; Clupeidae
Exons: 4
Source: RefSeq, a predicted model, not a curated record